RNAcentral lists this ribosomal RNA (235 nucleotides) under uncultured Staphylococcus sp. RNAcentral describes it as "partial 16S ribosomal RNA". It matches the Rfam family "Bacterial small subunit ribosomal RNA", at positions 127 to 354 of the family's 1533-position model. The record is from RNAcentral. Lineage: Bacteria; Bacillati; Bacillota; Bacilli; Caryophanales; Staphylococcaceae.
UACCUAUAAGACUGGGAUAACUUCGGGAAACCGGAGCUAAUACCGGAUAAUAUUUCGAACCGCAUUGUUCGAUAGUGAAAGGUGGUUUUGCCAUCACUUAUAGAUGGACCCGCGCCGUAUUAGCUAGUUGGUAAGGUAACGGCUUACCAAGGCGACGAUACGUAGCCGACCUGAGAGGGUGAUCGGCCACACUGGAACUGAGACACGGUCCAGACUCCUACGGGAGGCAGCAGAC